CGGUGCCCCUCCCCCAAACCUGCCCUGAAUCCUCCUGCCAACUGCUCCCGUCGCCAUAGCAACCGAGCUUCCCAGCUCCAUGCAACUCCGAGGCCGGACUCCCAGAUUAAAUUUUAGGAUUUUCCAGUAGGGCAACUGUGCAAGAUGGUGAGGUCAGGACGAGGCUAGCCUCGAGAUUGCCUGGCUUCCUUUAACUCGCUUUGCCCCCGCUCUGUUGCUUCUUGGAGACCCUGUGGUCCGAGGUAUUGUCUAGAAACUCAGAAUCCCUGGAAUCCCGCCCACGAUUUCAACACCUUUCAAAAUUUCUUCGAUCCUGGUUAACCUAAAAUGGAGAACUGGCUCUCUCAAGAGACAUCCCAUGCCAUUUUCUUCUCCCUUCUACUCUGCCCCAAAUGCUUCCUUAUGUGAAGUCAAAUUUAUCUCCCGACCCACAUCUUUUGCUUCCGUCUUGAGUCCUCCUCCCAGGGACUUCCUAAACCAGUGGGCUCACUUCUCCAAGAGAUCCUUUAUCUAACUGUAGUCGGGAUUAAUGUCUUUCUAAACCGUCUUCUCGGCCUAAUCAGCCCCAGUUCUUUCAAAUUGUCCUUCACUGAUGAACCCUAUGACUUCUAAAGAUCCAAACAGACAAACAGAGAGAAGUUCAACGGAGAACUCUAGAACAUCCUAGAGGGAGCUACUUAGUGAUAGGAGCAGAGCCAGAUGGACUGCCUUGAGAGCCAAAGCAGAGAAUUAAGCUUUUGUGCGUGUGUAAAAACAAGAAGGGACAAUGAGCAUGUCAUCACAUCUCUGACAGGGUGUUAUGUACGCUUCCCGGAUAAAAGUUAUACAGGAUGUGUUCUGUGUCUUCAAGGAGGGUGGGGUCCGGUGGAGGCAGGAGCUAACCCGACAGACAAGGACACUACGGCGUGGUCGGUGCUUUGGUCUAGAAGGUCAGAAGAGGGUGCAAGAGCAAAAGGACUGUCAAUCACAACGGGUUUUGUGACGAGGUGGUUGGGAGUGGGCGUGUGGGAGCAGAGUGCUUGCCAGAAAAGGGGCCACCAGCUAAGCGGCAGGCAGUUGAACAUAGGUAAAAAUGGAGGAAAGGCUGCAGACAGGACUGAGACAGCAGUUGGCGGAGCCAAAAAGAGCUCCCACAUGAUUGGAAAGAUCAGUGUCAGCAGGGAGAGCAGAAGGAAAGGCGGACAGAAACCAGAUCGCGACGGGCCUGGUGUGUUAAGAUAAGGAUUUGCAAUUAUUCGGAAAGCAUACGGAAAGCUCCAAGGAGAUUUUUAUUCUUGAAAGUUAAGGAAAGUAACUGCUAGACUUAGGGCAUCAAGAUCAUUUCUGCAUUUGGCUCUGUGAGCUUGGGCACCAUAACCUUUAUGAGCUACGUCCGUAAAAUCUGUAAGCAGACUAAUCUAGAACCUUCCUUGCUGAGCUACUGUAAAAAGAAGACCGUGGCUAUAGGGCACCUAGUACAGUAUCUGGGUUUAUAGUUAUGAUAUGGGGGAUAUCUCCAAACACGAAGAACCGUGGCUUGGCAAUCAGGGAGAAUGCUGAACUGGAAGUAAGUUCUGUCUUUAAAUCUGGAUUCUGCCGCGUCCUGGCUCUAUGACCUUGAGCAUGUCCCUUGACUUCUCUGAGCAAACAAACGGUAUCAACUUCACAAGGUUAAGUCAGGGUAGUGCCUGCGACAGAAAAAGCCUCUUUUUUCUUUUCCUUUUUGGGGCUGCAGGGCUUUUGGACGUCAACCAUCCGCUUUAUGAGGAAGACCAUCCUGGGGUGGGAUACCAUGCUCUGAAGAAUAAUCUCUGGAAUCCUGAUUAGCAAAGCAGCAUAUCAGGAGCACCAUCUGGAGGUGCGUGAACACCUGGGGAAAGGAGGCGAGGUGCGGGCCUGCCUGUGAGGGAGCCAGAGCAAAUGUGUGCCCAGAGCACUUCUGGAGCACGACCUCGCCGAAACGCCUGCUGAGCCGUUACUUAAAGGCCUACACAGGUGUAGACCAAAUUCCAGGCCUAAAUCAAGGAAAAGUAUUUCCAUAUGUUCCCAUGCAGAGACCAGAGGAGCAAAAGCCGCUGUAGCCGGGGAGGAGGGUAGAGGCGGAAGUGAGGAACCAGCAGAGGAAGGGAGAAAAACAGAAGAGCUGCCAAUGUAAAGAAUUCAUUAGAGGAGAGUCAUGUUGUGACCUCCAAGACGAAGAUGAGUGAAAAUUCUUGUAUGAUUUAAUAUGCUGUGGAAAUAGUCCAAACCACACACUCUCUGUGCAGGCUGAGGUCUUUUACCUUCAUUUCAGGAAGGUCCUACUACCCAUUAGUCUGCGUAUUACUUACUUGGUCUGAGCUUCUUUGUAACAUGCUGGCAGGAUCAGAUGGGGAGGCUGCCCGCGGGCUGCAACUGGAGGGGCCUGGACAGCGGAAGUGUGGAAGAUAUGGAAGUGUGGCUACCAGUCUCCUUGAGGAGCAUCCCAGCUGAGUGCCACAUGAGCCAUCAGGGAGCCUUACUUCCCGGGACCGAACUGUUACCCCAUGGUAUCGUCUCCAGUGCUCUCAUGCCAUCAGAUCAGUCCGCUAGUUUUUAAGCUUAAAAAAACCAACAACAUCACAUUAGAAACAUCUUCUUCUUAAGAUGUCCUUAUGAAGCAAUGACACCCCUUUGGAAAACAAGCCCCAAAAUCUCUAAAAUCAAAUAAAAAAAAUAUAUGCCUGCCCUGCUUGGAAAUUAGAAGGUGGUCCUGAGGUCUUACCCACUAGCUUCUCUCCCCAUAUGCAAAUCCAUCCCUGAGGGCUUCACAGAGCAAGAGUGAAAACUAUAGCUCUAGUCCAACUCCUUCAAUUUGUAGAUGAGGAAACUAGGGAUUAAGAGAUUGUCCAAGGGUCAGUAAUUAGUUAGGGAUCGAGUUGGGACUGAAAUCACAUUCUUCUGGUCCUGAUCUCAGUGCAUUAUCCUAGCCCUGGACUCACAGCUAUUUGCUUUCAGAAGAAGGGUGGUUACAGUGAUGUCAUGUCUCAUGGGCUGGGAGAUACAAGAAGCAGUGGGAGAAUUUGAGGAACCUGAUGCCCUCUCUUCUGUAGGAGCCCUAGUGGAAGCCUCCAGACCAGGUCCUUCCUGGGGGCAAAAUACACGUCUUUUGAAUUGGGAUGAAAUGCUGUGGUUUCAGGCAAGAGUCUCAGGGAGCCCACAGUCUCCCUACCCUCCACCUCCAGUGUGAGACAUUCCCUGUGUCAACGAGAGUAGGACUCUGAGGAGCCGCCUUCCCCCAGGAAUGUUCUAUGCUUCUGGAAAUGGUCUCCGAGCUUUUAGGCUCAGGCAGAAAAACCCCAAAUUGCUAGUUUACUGUUUAUACAAGCAAAUUCAUAAUAACUUGCUGCAUCUCUCAAGUGUAAAAGAGGACCAGACCAAAGCCUGCUUGGGAUGCUUGUUGAACUCUUAGGUUUCCCUCCCAAAGAACAACUCGUUUGGCACAUUAAUAUUUAUAACAGUAAAAUAAGAUAAAAUAAAAUAAAAUAAAAUAAAAUAAAAUAAAAUAAAACAUCAUAACUUGAAGAUUUUUCCUGAGCCUCUGGUUGUCCCAAAGCAUUCAGUGAGGUCCUUCGUUUCCUCUUAACCUUACCGGGUCCCCUGUAUGUGGAGUGUCCUGAACCAUCAAGAAACAAAGUUGCCUGCUGAAAUCAUCACCCCUGUGACGAGACAGUGGUACUCCCCACACAUUCCAUCUGCUCCGUCGCACUUGCCAAAUCCCUUGCAUUUAGGGGGGGCCACGAGGCUAGUUCUGACUAAUGAAAUGUGAGCUGAGAUGGUGAAAAGCCUAUGUGCAAAUCUCCAGGCUCUCACUGCCACCAGCACUUUCCAGAUGGUGAAGCCCCCAUCAGCCUAAGACCUGAGUGAUUCUGAUAAGCAAAGUACCAUCCCACAAUGGACCCGUGCUGGACAUAUAUCAUGAAUGAAGCAGAAACCUUUGCUGUUUUAAGCCACUGAGAUUUCAUGGCUAAUCUGUUAUGUAGCAUAACCUCGCUAAUCGUGACAAAUACCGAGGAAUUUGGGUUCAAGGCAAGGAAGCCCGAGGACCUGCUCUGGCGGGAGCUACCCUGGUCGGUCCUGGGCUUUCAAGCAGCGGUGUGCUGGGGCGGGCUCAUGCCAGCCUUGAGCAGCCGAUGGAUCGCGCACACCUUGUCCCCACCUUGCAUUCAGUGACGUUGCCCUGGUAACUUGUGAUUGGCUCUGGCGGGAGUGGUCACUCCACAGAAACCGGCAAAGGCUACAGGUCAUGUCAUUUCCCACCCACCCUGGCAAACUGGCUGCUAUCCAUUUACCAGCAUUCCACUGGUUUCAAGUCUCUGCAGAGAGAGUCAAGGUGGGGAGUCGGAAAUGGGAAAGGAGGGCCUUUGGGAAAUAAGAACCCCUUUCAGCCCUUAACUCUUUCUUACAUUUUCUGUAAGAGAAAAUUUGGUAGAGAGACACUCUGCGACUUGCGGUUUUCUCUACAUGCUAGGAUAAAUUGCUAGAAUCCUGUCUUUGACAGCAUAUCCUAAACCUCAGGAUUCUGAGCUCAUUUUAUCUCGGCUGUUACCUUUGCACAGGAUAGGAAUGCCAGUGUCUCCUUCCACCGUGAGUCGGCAACCCCCAGCAGGGCCUCUGUGCCUUUCGGAUUUUCAAGGGAGCAGCAGAAACGGGCCGCUUUCAUUCUGACUUAGCUACUUGCAUGCAUUUCUUUCCCCUUUCUCACCAAAAUCCUUCGUGAAUACAAACCAAACAGAUUCAAGGUUGAUUUGCUGGAAGUCUGAUGUUAAAUUUAAAAGCCUUGGGGGCGGGGCGCCUGGGUGGCUCAGUCGGUUAAGCGGCCGACUUUGGCUC
This is a long non-coding RNA of Felis catus (domestic cat), 4830 nucleotides long. RefSeq lists it as uncharacterized. Lineage: Eukaryota; Metazoa; Chordata; Mammalia; Carnivora; Felidae. The transcript is spliced from 3 exons. The record is from RefSeq and is a predicted model, not a curated record.